RNAcentral lists this ribosomal RNA (472 nucleotides) under uncultured bacterium. RNAcentral's name for it is "bacterial SSU rRNA". It matches the Rfam family "Bacterial small subunit ribosomal RNA", at positions 23 to 507 of the family's 1533-position model. The record is from RNAcentral.
CUCAGGAUGAACGCUGGCGCAUGCCUAANACAUGCAAGUCGAACGGACUUAUUUUGAAGCCUAGCGAUAAAUAAGUUAGUGGCGGACGGGUGAGUAACGCGUGGGUAACCUGCCUCACACUGGGGGAUAACAGUUAGAAAUGACUGCUAAUACCGCAUAAGUGCACAGGACCGCAUGGUCUAGUGUAAAAAACUCCGGUGGUAUACGAUGGACCCGCGUCUGAUUAGCUAGUUGGUGAGGUAACGGCCCACCAAGGCGACGAUCAGUAGCCGGCCUGAGAGGGUGGACGGCCACAUUGGGACUGAGACACGGCCCAAACUCCUACGGGAGGCAGCAGUGGGGAAUAUUGCACAAUGGGGGAAACCCUGAUGCAGCGACGCCGCGUGAGUGAAGAAGUAUUUCGGUAUGUAAAGCUCUAUCAGCAGGGAAGAAAAUGACGGUACCUGACUAAGAAGCCCCGGCUAACUACGUG